Molecule: transfer RNA, 73 nt
Filed under: Rubrobacter sp.
Lineage: Bacteria; Bacillati; Actinomycetota; Rubrobacteria; Rubrobacterales; Rubrobacteraceae
Also listed under: 1 other name
Description: tRNA-Lys
Rfam family: tRNA
About the family: Transfer RNA (tRNA) molecules are approximately 80 nucleotides in length. Their secondary structure includes four short double-helical elements and three loops (D, anti-codon, and T loops). Further hydrogen bonds mediate the characteristic L-shaped molecular structure. tRNAs have two regions of fundamental functional importance: the anti-codon, which is responsible for specific mRNA codon recognition, and the 3' end, to which the tRNAs corresponding amino acid is attached (by aminoacyl-tRNA synthetases). tRNAs cope with the degeneracy of the genetic code in two manners: having more than one tRNA (with a specific anti-codon) for a particular amino acid; and 'wobble' base-pairing, i.e. permitting non-standard base-pairing at the 3rd anti-codon position.
Source: RNAcentral
GGGCCAGUAGCUCAGUGGUUAGAGCAGGGGACUUUUAAUCCUCGUGUCGAAGGUUCGAUUCCUUCCUGGCUCA